GAUGAACGCUAGCUACAGGCUUAACACAUGCAAGUCGAGGGGUAACGAGAGGAAAGCUUGCUUUCCUUGUUGACGACCGGCGCACGGGUGAGUAACGCGUAUCCAACCUGCCCCCAACUAGGGAAUAACCUUGCGAAAGUAAGACUAAUACCCUAUAAUUUCCUCAGAUGUCAUCUGACGAGGAAUAAAGAUUUAUCGGUUGUGGAUGGGGAUGCGUCUGAUUAGCUUGUUGGCGGGGUAACGGCCCACCAAGGCAACGAUCAGUAGGGGUUCUGAGAGGAAGGUCCCCCACAUUGGAACUGAGACACGGUCCAAACGCCUACGGGAGGCAGCAGUGAGGAAUAUUGAUCAAUGGGCGGAAGCCUGAACCAGCCAAGUAGCGUGCAGGAUGACGGCCCUAUGGGUUGUAAACUGCUUUUAUACAGGAAUAAAGUUAGCCACGUGUGGUUAUUUGUAGGUACUGUAUGAAUAAGGACCGGCUAAUUCCGUGCCAGCCGCCGCGGUAA
Molecule: ribosomal RNA, 506 nt
Filed under: uncultured bacterium
Lineage: Bacteria
Description: partial 16S ribosomal RNA
Rfam family: Bacterial small subunit ribosomal RNA
Source: RNAcentral